Molecule: transfer-messenger RNA, 312 nt
Filed under: Prevotella sp.
Lineage: Bacteria; Pseudomonadati; Bacteroidota; Bacteroidia; Bacteroidales; Prevotellaceae
Description: partial transfer-messenger RNA
Rfam family: transfer-messenger RNA
About the family: Bacterial tmRNA, also known as 10Sa RNA or SsrA, is named for its dual tRNA and mRNA-like properties. Its role is to liberate the mRNA from a stalled ribosome.
Source: RNAcentral
GGGGUUGACCGGAUUUGACAGCGGGCAGAGAUGGUACGUAAGCACGCGGAGCGUGGCUGGCUGGCUCCUUAAUCCCAGAUGGCAAAAAAUUAAUUGGCGAAACAAAUUACGCUCUCGCUGCCUAAUCGAAGAACAGUAGAUUACUGGCUUAAUCCAGUCACAAGGUGACAGGACGAGACGUCGCUCCACAGGGUGUGUCUUCGAACCCGAGGAUCAAGCGGCGCAGACAAAUUCGGAGACGAACCGGCUGAUGCCUCUGCUGCCGGGGAGAUUUUUUGAGGAUAAGGGUACUGUUGGUGGCUCAGGUCUUGC